AACGAACGCUGGCGGCAUGCCUAACACAUGCAAGUCGAACGAUGCUUUCGGGCAUAGUGGCGCACGGGUGCGUGACGCGUGGGAAUCUGCCCUUGGGUUCGGAAUAACAGUUAGAAAUGACUGCUAAUACCGGAUGAUGUCUUCGGACCAAAGAUUUAUCGCCCAGGGAUGAGCCCGCGUAGGAUUAGGUAGUUGGUGGGGUAAUGGCCUACCAAGCCGACGAUCCUUAGCUGGUCUGAGAGGAUGAUCAGCCACACUGGGACUGAGACACGGUCCAGACUCCUACGGGAGGCAGCAGUGGGGAAUAUUGGACAAUGGGCGCAAGCCUGAUCCAGCAAUGCCGCAUGAGUGAUGAAGGCCUUAGGGUUGUAAAGCUCUUUUACCAGGGAUGAUAAUGACAGUACCUGGAGAAUAAGCUCCGGCUAACUCCGUGCCAGCAGCCGCCGUAA
Molecule: ribosomal RNA, 449 nt
Filed under: uncultured bacterium
Lineage: Bacteria
Description: partial 16S ribosomal RNA
Rfam family: Bacterial small subunit ribosomal RNA
Source: RNAcentral